This 608-nucleotide long non-coding RNA is filed under the name Equus asinus (donkey). RNAcentral's name for it is "lncRNA (ENSEASG00005025101.1)". Lineage: Eukaryota; Metazoa; Chordata; Mammalia; Perissodactyla; Equidae. The record is from RNAcentral.
GUGCCGGGCACGCGCCCUAAUCUCUCAAACGGCGGCAGGAAACAUCUGCCGUCUCCGUUUGGCGGUCGCCAGAGGCCCAGUUCUGGAAGCUGGAAGUCCAACAGCCAGGCGCUGACAGGGGUCAGAGCUGAUCGCCUGCUCAUGCCAAGCUUCCUCCCACGGGGCCUUCCGAAGCUUUCCACAGCUUCAACAUCAACGGCACUUUUGUCUGCCCACUUGGGGGAGAGGGCUGGAGGCUCUGUUUUUUGUGUCCUUGGUGGAUCCAGCCCAAGUUUGAAGGACCCAUGGACCUGUUCAGUUUCCCCAGAUGGCCCCGCUCCAAGAACAGCUCAGAAGCCAAGGAAACCGAAAUCCCCGCCUCUGUAGCCAAAAUGGACAGGCUGUUUCCUGAUACCCCGUGUGUGUGUGUGCGUGUGCGCGAGUGUGUGUGUGUGAAGUGAGUCCUGACCUGCAAGUCUGUUUCUGUGAUACUAUGAAACAGCCCAGUGCAUAGUCCACACUGUUUUCCUCCUGCUCUCGUGCAAAUAAAUGAUCCAUCGCUCUGUGGCUGACUCAGUUGUCAAGAAGAAUAAGUGACUGUGAAUAAAAACUUUUGCAAAUGAAUCCAA